Molecule: ribosomal RNA, 437 nt
Filed under: uncultured bacterium
Lineage: Bacteria
Description: bacterial SSU rRNA
Rfam family: Bacterial small subunit ribosomal RNA
Source: RNAcentral
AGCAGUGGGGGAAUUUUGGACAAUGGGGGGCAACCCUGAUCCAGCCAUUCCGCGUGAGUGAAGAAGGCCUUCGGUUGUAAGACUCUUUCAGCAGGAACGAAACGGUGGUCCCUAAUACGGGCUACUAAUGACGGUACCUGAAGAAGAAGCACCGGCUAACUACGUGCCAGCAGCCGCGGUAAUACGUAGGGUGCGAGCGUUAAUCGGAAUUACUGGGCGUAAAGCGUGCGCAGGCGGUUAUAUAAGACAGAUGUGAAAUCCCCGGGCUUAACCUGGGAACUGCGUUUGUGACUGUAUAACUCGAGUGUGGCAGAGGGGGGUGGAAUUCCACGUGUAGCAGUGAAAUGCGUAGAGAUGUGGAGGAACACCGAUGGCGAAGGCAGCCCCCCUGGGUCAACACUGACGCUCAUGCACGAAAGCGUGGGGAGCAAACAGGA